Zonotrichia albicollis (white-throated sparrow) is the source of this 2343-nucleotide non-coding RNA. The record is from RefSeq and is a predicted model, not a curated record. Lineage: Eukaryota; Metazoa; Chordata; Aves; Passeriformes; Passerellidae.
CCGAGAGCUGUAAAAAUCCCCCGGGGUCACAUACAGUUGCAGGUCUGAGCCUCUAAAUCCCAAGAAGAGCAUGUUUUGACUACACAGACUGUGGCUGAGAUUGCAGUGGAAGAGGCUCAGCUAGAGCUGCCAGGAGGGAGCAUUUGUCCAAGUGUGCCCACAGCAGAGAUGCAAGCAGAGAUGCUGGUGUUGCAGUGUGUGCAGGUAACUCUGUAAUGCAGAUUUGGUGAGUCUGAAUGGGCUAUGGCAUAUUUUUAGAUCCUCCCAGGAAGGAGUGUGUAAGCACAAAGCAGAGCUGUACCAGUUCUGAUGUACUGCUGAGCAAGGGUACCCAAAAGGCUGUGCUCAUAAUGUGCCCUUUGUUACUCACACAGACUGAAUUUCUGAUUUCUUGGUUGAUUUGCAGUAAGAAAAAUUGUUUAGUUUCAUGGUAUAUCACAACAUUCAAUGAGCUUGUCCCUUGGGAACACCAAGAGCUUUCAGAUCUUAAUAUAGACAUCUUUCAAAUGAGAUCAUUAACGAGUAUAUAUCUGGAUUGAGAGCCAAUGCAAGCACUUCGAUUUUUUGCCUGCCAAAUUUUCAUUUUUGGCUCCAUUUUCUUCCCAUAUAUUCAAAGAACUGCACCACAUGGAAUCCUUUAAACAAUAGAUGGGAUAACAUAAUUUUUCAAUUGCUCUUGCAAAGGUUUUUAACCACAUAAACUAUUCCUGGGUUCGCUAAGAAGUUACCAUUGCAAAUAAUGUAAUUGUUCCAGACUAAAUUCCUUGCAUUCCAGAAGAACUUUUGAAGCAAAGAGCAUGACUGAUUUGGGAUUUUUAACCAGCCUCUUUAUGGUAAUACUUAGAUGAAUGUAAAUUUUCUCCAAAAGCUUUGCUUUAAAAAUAAAGGACCAAAGCCCAGAAACACUCCUAGCUGCAGAUCCAAUACUUAAUGCUAAUGACCCGUUGAUCUCAAUAGAGAGAAAAUAAACAUUUAAAAAUUAGGAAACUGCACACUUUAUUUUAAACAAUAAAAGAAGGUGAGAAGAACAGUAGACAAAAUCUGGUGAAACUAAUGCAAGCUGUAAAUUCUGGUUUUUCUCUCCUCUUUUGCAAGCAGGACAAGGCUGUUACUUGCCUUUGGAAUGAAGUCAAGGCUCUCUGUCCUGCUCCACCAAAGUUCUCCUUAAAGAUGUGACUUCUGCUUCCUGGGCUUCACCUGGAAUUUAAAACACACUUUUUUUUUCUGUGAGCCUGCAGGAUUACAUUUCAGGCAGAGUGCAAAGUGACAGCUGCUCCUCCACCUGUACUGACACAGCACACACUCUCCAGGAAGAUGCAUCUUCCAUUCGUAUGUGUCUGCUGCAUGUGGUGCUGAUGCUCAAAAUGCCCAUGUUAGGCUUUUAGGCCAAAUAAAUUUGAUAAAAAAUCAUGGGAUUUUAGGAGCAUUAUUUCUGGAGAAGCUAAUUCCAGAAACAGUCUCUGCUCACCUGUGUCACUGAUGCCUUAGCACUGCACUUAUCUAACAUUCACACCACCAGGACUGGAAUUCAGGACUUCUGGUCUCUGCUGGUUCUCUGCUGCAAGACCUUUUCCUCUGACUGAAAACUGCUGCUAAACCUCCUUUAGUUCUUUUAAGAUUUAGCUGAGUCAUGCUGGGAAAUCCUUUGAGAUCAAGGCUAUAAGAACUACAAGUGAGUAGAAUUAAAUGGGACAUUUUGGGAGGCACAGAGGAAGUUACUCAAUUGUUUCAGGUUAGAAUACAUUCUAUUAGAUACUACAUAAACCUUCACCUCUGUCAAGCCCAAUUACUAUCCAGAAAAGAAAGAUUAAGUAAGAACCACACCUAUAAAGCUAGUACAGCUCUAAAUUGAAGAACAAGAAAGGAAAAUAAAAGUACAAACCCCUUGAGAGUUCUUAUAUAUUUCAAACUACAUAUAAAACCCAUUCAGAAUGUAAGCUCAGGAGAUCAGACAGAGACUUGGAAAUGUUGCAAUUCCAAUAGUCAAUAUCCUGUCAUCCAGUCUAUGGAAGUGAUGAAAGUGAAGUUAUACUAAUCCCUUAAUAAACACUUGUAGGUACAGCAGAUAUCAAGCUUGUUAUUAUCUUACUUGCUUUUUGCAGCAGGAGUGGUGCUGCACUGAGUUUGAUCCCUGAAUGACCAGAAUGUGUCAGAGUUUUGCCUCAACAUGAACAAGAUGAAAUUAUUUGCUAAUGUGGGUGCUCUGAGGUGCCCAUAUGAACACACACCAGGCUGGUUUCAAGAGCUCAGUUCCUACACUCAAGACUAGAUUUUCAGGGAGGUUCAUGCACUGAAUGCUUGUUACAUCCAGCUACUUAUAAAAAAGCCUAAGAAAGAGCUAAG